AGUGUUAGGACAAACAUGGCCCACCAAAUGGAGGUUUUUCAGAGACACACUCCAAACAGUGUUCUGAGAAAAUGUCAAGCCGGCUGUACAAGUGAUCAAAGAAACCCACAAAUAUAAUUACCUCUGUGAUGUGGAUGGGUGCAGCGCGGGGCUCCUGGAGAACUAUUACCCCCGUCCCCCAUCUAACCCCUGACUGGGCCCGAACAAAGGGAAUGGGCACCGUGGAGAAUCGAGCAGCGGCGCGGCCGCCGGUGAUGAGAAGUGAUUUUCACCUUUCCUCUUGCUGUGAGGGCCAAUCACAUGGAAGUCCAGAUGGCCAGCUUCAGUAAUUCAGUGCGAUGGACUGGUGACCUGUCCAGGGUGUAUCCUGCCUUUCGCCCGAAG
This is a long non-coding RNA of Pygocentrus nattereri (red-bellied piranha), 384 nucleotides long. RefSeq lists it as uncharacterized. The record is from RefSeq and is a predicted model, not a curated record. Lineage: Eukaryota; Metazoa; Chordata; Actinopteri; Characiformes; Serrasalmidae. The transcript is spliced from 3 exons.